GGGCCCGUAGCUCAGCUAGGUUGAGCGAUCGGCUCUUAACCGAUAGGCCGUGGGUUCGAAUCCCACCGGGCCCGC
RNAcentral lists this transfer RNA (75 nucleotides) under Methanomassiliicoccales archaeon PtaU1.Bin124. RNAcentral's name for it is "tRNA-Lys". It matches the Rfam family "tRNA". Rfam says of the family: Transfer RNA (tRNA) molecules are approximately 80 nucleotides in length. Lineage: Archaea; Methanobacteriati; Thermoplasmatota; Thermoplasmata; Methanomassiliicoccales. The record is from RNAcentral.